This 253-nucleotide ribosomal RNA is filed under the name uncultured bacterium. RNAcentral describes it as "partial 16S ribosomal RNA". It matches the Rfam family "Bacterial small subunit ribosomal RNA", at positions 524 to 776 of the family's 1533-position model. The record is from RNAcentral.
UACGUAGGGACCAAGCGUUGUUCGGAUUUACUGGGCGUAAAGGGCGCGUAGGCGGCAUGACAAGUCACUUGUGAAAUCUCCGGGCUUAACUCGGAACGGCCAAGUGAUACUGUCAAGCUAGAGUGCAGAAAGGGCAAUCGGAAUUCUUGGUGUAGCGGUGAAAUGCGUAGAUAUCAGGAGGAACACCAAUUGCGAAGGCGGCUCGCUGGGACGUUACUGACGCUGAGACGCGAAAGCGUGGGGAGCAAACAGG